This 1574-nucleotide unclassified non-coding RNA is filed under the name Zea mays. RNAcentral describes it as "misc RNA Zm00001eb113420". Lineage: Eukaryota; Viridiplantae; Streptophyta; Magnoliopsida; Poales; Poaceae. The record is from RNAcentral.
CUGGACCAUGCUAACAGGAUGCUCAACUUUUACGCUCCAGUUUCCUGUUUCUCUAUGAACCCUAACCCCCCCAAUCUCGGCGGAGAUCAAGUGCACCCCCUCGCCCCUCCCCUGCAUCCAUUUUUCGCCCUACUGGUGCAUACAAGAAUUUGCAAUGGCAUCCAAGACAAUGUUCAUUUCAUUUCAACCCCACCAUUACUCCUUUCCUACCAUAAAGAACCAUGCACCAUCUAUUGGGACUGCUAUACCCAAAAGGUGGAUCAAUGCCAACAUAUUGUUGAACAAAGGUCAUUCUGCACUUUGGAAGAUAGUAAUCUAAUCGUAGAUUUCAUGGUAGGUUACUGGUUGCACUUGUUUGUGAAUACUUGGAGUGACCACAACUAAGUCACACAAUGAAACUUUAAGUGUAACCUGGUGACCGGUGACCAUUCAUAAUAUUUCAUUUUUACAUUUUGGAUAUCAAUAUCCAUUAAUAUGUAUCCCUAUUUUGUUUGUAUAUCAGCUGAACUUCUGAUAGAAUGAACUGAAAGACUUCUCUAACAAAAGUGGAGCUGAGGGGAGCAAGAGUGCUGAAAGCCUGAAAGUGGUCCAAUGUUUUUAGAUGUUCUCGAAUGUUAUCUGAAAUAUGAGGUUUAUCUCUUGCUUGAUCAACAAUAGAAGCAAACAAUCAUCCUUUUGUUUAUUUAUGUUUCCCAAUAUAAAGGAAAAAGGGGAAAUAUUUUGGUGCAGUGUGCCCAAUUCUUUUGUCCCUAGAAAACUGUGUAGUCGCCUAUAGCAGGCACUAUAGUCAGUUUUAGCUAUUUUAGACACCACUACUAUUUGUACACACAUUUCUAUUAGCCUAUUUUAGCCUGCUAUAUCCAUGUAUGGGCCUUAUGGGAACUCUGCAAUUACUAUGGAUCCUCUUAUACAUUAUGUUCGACAUAGAGACAAGGUAGUAUAUUGAGUUGGACCAAUAAUCCUUCAUAUUUAUUUAUGUGAAUUAUGUUGUACUGGUGUCCUGUCCUUUUGUUUGUGCUUUAUAAUUUGUAAUUCCUAGCUGCUGAUAUGGUCUGAUGGAUGGGAGGUGGCUGAAAUCGUUCAGAUAAGUGCCAAUUUGUUGUUUUCUUUUUUAAUGAAUGGUUUUCUAUUUCAGCUGAUGAACCUUUUAUAGUUCUUUUAUUAUAUGCUGCCACUGAUUGCUAAUAGGGUGCAUGUCUUCUAUUUCUAGGUAUGGUGCAUAAAAAAGUAGGAACCACAAUGAGAUUGUGAUGCUGCACAUGGCACAUCAAGGUGCGCAAGAUAUGUACCGUAGAAAUUAUCGUAAAGUGCACACAGCUGUAUGUAUAGAUGUUUAGAAGUGGCCGAAGUUAGGCUUGCUCAACCGGGGCAAUGAUUUACUUAGCCUGCUGAAAUGUACUAUAGGUAGCAUUCAAGUUUGUGACCAUCAUGCAAGUACAUGUGGGUUUGUUGAAAUUGAGUGGUCAUCGGAGAUGUAGCAAAAUGUUCCCUAUCGAGAGCUCGUGUACUAUAUUUGUUUUAUGAACUUAAUUUUUAUUACAACAUAAUAUGUGGUCAUACAUAUGUUAUUGCUA